RNAcentral lists this long non-coding RNA (1587 nucleotides) under Gallus gallus (chicken). The record is from RNAcentral. Lineage: Eukaryota; Metazoa; Chordata; Aves; Galliformes; Phasianidae.
UGGUAGUUUCUUUUAACUUCAAAACAAAACAACAACAAAAACCCAGCUGUAUUAGAAUCAAAGAAUCAAGCUCAAGAUAGUCACAAAAAAUAAAUGAUGUAUUUUUCCUCCAUAGAUCAAAACUAUAACAAACGCAAGACAAUUGUAUCAAAGUUCAGUGUCCAGAUUUUUUUUUCGUAAUACAAAAAAGAGAUACUGCAAUUACUUUACUGCUCAAGAAUUUCCUUGUUCAAGCUGCUGAAUUCUUCUCUCAUUGAAGUUUUGUCAGUAACUUUCUUUAAACUACAACGUACAAAGAAUUCUUUAUCAACCUCAUCUUAUCUAAAGCUCUUCUUUUGUUCUAGAGAGUUUUGUCACAUGCUCCUCUAUAAAUUUACUCAAAUGCUCUAAAUCUCUGUCACCACCUUCAAAUUUAAUAGGAUUGUUCUUCUUGUCCCUUGGAGCAAAGUAGAUGGUAGGGAAUCCUUCCACUUUGUAGUGAUCAUUUGUCACAUCGUUGGCAGUAGCAUCCAUCUUGGCUAUGACUAGAUUUUUCUCAUUCUUGUAUUUUUUGCCUAGCUCAGUAUACACUGGUUCUAGUUUCUUGCAGUGUCCACACCAUGGGGCAUAGAACUCUAUGAGAACAUCAUUCUUUGGAUCCAUUACUAUGGUAUCAAAAGUUUUACCCACUACCACUUUCACAGGCCCUUUGUUAUUUUUUGGCACUGGCUGUGACUUCACAAUAGGCUUCAGUUUUCCUUUUUUGAAUGCCAGCACAAACUGCCUGAGGGCAUCAGAGUCAAACUCUUCUGGCUCCAUGGCAUAUUUCUUGCCACCUUCAUCCAGAAUGGCAACAUUUACAUCCUCUCCACUCUCAAGCAGACCUAGAUCCUUUAUUUCAGAAGAAUAAUCUUCCUCGUCAGAAACAGCAAACACAUAUUCAGGGAAGUCCUUGGCUACUUCUAGGACUUUGCCUCUCCAGUACUGGGUAGCAACACGAUAGUCAAAACUAAAGUCAACAGUAUAAUAGACAACCACUAGAGGACGCUUAGCAUAUCUUUUAGCAUCAUUGGAAGGCUUGCGAUGACCAACUAGAGGCAAAGCAUGUUUCACUACAUGCUCUUUGAUCUCUGACUCACUUGUAGAAUACUGUUUAAGAUCCAAAACGUACAUCUUGGGCUCAUGCUUUGAUUGAAACUUUUCCGGCUGCAUGACAACCAAUUUUCCAGGAGAUACUUUCAAUAGUUUUGCAAUCUCGCUGCUGAAGGUGUGAUGGAACUUGUAAUCUUCUCUUAAACUGUUAGCUGCUUCCUGGUAGAGCUGAUAGACUUCAUCAGUUUCUCCACUAAAAACACCAAUGAUAAUGACAUCAUCUCCAUCCUUCAGAAAUUCCUGUACCUGCUUCGUAGCCUGAAUCUGUUUAGAUGGAGGACCAGCCUGUUCAAUCAUGUAGUCGACAAUACCGUAUUUCUCUCGUGGACCACUGUAGUCAUAAGGCUUGCCUUUGCGAAAGAUUUUCAGAGUUGGAUAGCCAGUAACAUCAAACUUCUUUGCAAGCUCAGUUUCAGCAGUGGCAUCAACUUUAGCCAGAGGAAUGGGAGGUGUGCG